Molecule: long non-coding RNA, 370 nt
Organism: Xenia sp. Carnegie-2017
Lineage: Eukaryota; Metazoa; Cnidaria; Anthozoa; Malacalcyonacea; Xeniidae
Exons: 2
Source: RefSeq, a predicted model, not a curated record
GUUGUUGUUAUAGACACGGGAUUUUCCAUAAAAACAACGAAAGAUUUAGAUCUCACAGUUGAUAAAGUGAAGAAGCAUUAUGUACCUCCCAUUGAUGAUGUAAAGAACAAUGAUGAUUUCUUUAUCAAAAAUUUUCUUAACGAACAUAACGUUAUUCGAGAUGAGAUUCUUGACAAAUUAAACAGUUUUUCUUGGAUUUGUGGUGGAUAUGGUGUACGGUGGAAACCUCGUCUUUCUUUGUUUGUGACUGUAGCAGCAGAAAGACAAAAUGACGAAGAUGCAUUAAGAAAAGAAAUUGAUGAAACUUUUGGAUGGAAAGCUUCUCAAUACUUUGAAUUUGUACCGGAGCCACUAGAGAAAUCGAAAUUUC